CUUGGUCAUUUAGAGGAAGUAAAAGUCGUAACAAGGUUUCCGUAGGUGAACCUGCGGAAGGAUCAUUAAAAAUCUUUAUCCGGGAAUUCGUUUCGUUUUCCCGGAUUAUUUGUAUUCAAAUCCCACUCUUUAUAAAUAUAUUAAUUAUAUAAAACAAAAUAAAAAAGAAAACUUUCAACAACGGAUCUCUUGGCUCUCGCAUCGAUGAAGAACGCAGCGAAAUGCGAUACGUAGUGUGAAUUGCAGAAUUCCGUGAAUCAUCGAAUCUUUGAACGCAAAUUGUACUUUCCAGUAAUCUGGGAAGUAUGCUUGGUUGAGGGUCAUUAUAAUAACAUUCGUGAAUUUUUUCGCGGAUUUAAGUUUUCCAGUAUUUUUAUUAUAAAAAAAAAUGAUGGUAACUUUAAAAUUAUUUAUUACUUGGUACAAGUUGAAAACGUACUAUAUGUGUAGUUCGCUGACAACUUGUCCAUCAUCAUAUAUUAUGCACGCACUUGGUUUUUUACGCUCUGUGCGAGUAUAUAUUUUUUUUAUGACCUCAGCUCAAGCAAGAAUACCCGCUGAACUUAAGCAUAUCAAUAAGCGGAGGAAAAGAAACUAACAAGGAUUCCCCUAGUAACGGCGAGUGAAGAGGGAAAAGCUCAAAUUUUAAAUCUACCUGGUUCCCAGGUCGAAUUGUAAUUUGAAGAAGCGAUAUCGGUUUUGAGGUCUGGUUUAAGUUCUUUGGAACAAGACAUCAUGGAGGGUGAGAAUCCCGUGCAUGAUCAGACCAAGAUACCCAAUAUUCGUUUUCUAAGAGUCGAGUUGUUUGGGAAU
This 813-nucleotide unclassified non-coding RNA is filed under the name uncultured Diversispora. Its description in RNAcentral is "sequence contains 18S rRNA gene, ITS1, 5.8S rRNA gene, ITS2 and 28S rRNA gene". The stretch from base 531 to 813 matches the Rfam family "Eukaryotic large subunit ribosomal RNA", at positions 1 to 281 of the family's 3401-position model. Lineage: Eukaryota; Fungi; Glomeromycota; Glomeromycetes; Diversisporales; Diversisporaceae. The record is from RNAcentral.